This 320-nucleotide transfer-messenger RNA is filed under the name Alphaproteobacteria bacterium. It matches the Rfam family "Alphaproteobacteria transfer-messenger RNA". From Rfam's summary of the family: Bacterial tmRNA, also known as 10Sa RNA or SsrA, is named for its dual tRNA and mRNA-like properties. Its role is to liberate the mRNA from a stalled ribosome. To accomplish this part of the tmRNA is used as a reading frame that ends in a translation stop signal. Lineage: Bacteria; Pseudomonadati; Pseudomonadota; Alphaproteobacteria. The record is from RNAcentral.
UCCCUUUGAUCCGUGCGGAGCUGCGCCUAUAUUCAGGCCGUCGGGAAACCGACUAUGGCGAUAAAUAGCGUGCGCAAUAGCCGAUGCGGACCCGGGGGCAGUGCCCGGCGCCUCCACCAUCUUCUGCGGGGGCGAACCAGGAUCGACGCGCGAGUAAAGGCACGAAGUUUGCCCGGCAUGGUACCGCCGUCAUCGGGCCAAAACUGAGACGCCAACGACAACGUGGCUCUCGACAACCGCGUCGCGGCCUGAGCCUAACGGCUUAGCCCAAGACGCCUAGUCGCGGUUCGGGGGGCACCGGGCAACAGAAGCCCCCCACU